RNAcentral lists this ribosomal RNA (465 nucleotides) under Vreelandella stevensii. Its description in RNAcentral is "partial 16S ribosomal RNA". It matches the Rfam family "Bacterial small subunit ribosomal RNA", at positions 338 to 795 of the family's 1533-position model. The record is from RNAcentral. Lineage: Bacteria; Pseudomonadati; Pseudomonadota; Gammaproteobacteria; Oceanospirillales; Halomonadaceae.
CCUACGGGCGGUAGCAGUGGGGAAUAUUGGACAAUGGGCGAAAGCCUGAUCCAGCCAUGCCGCGUGUGUGAAGAAGGCCUUCGGGUUGUAAAGCACUUUCAGUGGGGAAGAAAGCCUUGGGGCUAAUACCCUCGAGGAAGGACAUCACCCACAGAAGAAGCACCGGCUAACUCCGUGCCAGCAGCCGCGGUAAUACGGAGGGUGCGAGCGUUAAUCGGAAUUACUGGGCGUAAAGCGCGCGUAGGCGGUCUGAUAAGCCGGUUGUGAAAGCCCCGGGCUCAACCUGGGAACGGCAUCCGGAACUGUCAGGCUAGAGUGCAGGAGAGGAAGGUAGAAUUCCCGGUGUAGCAGUGAAAUGCGUAGAGAUCGGGAGGAAUACCAGUGGCGAAGGCGGCCUUCUGGACUGACACUGACGCUGAGGUGCGAAAGCGUGGGUAGCAAACAGGAUUAGAUACCCGUGUAGUC